Molecule: unclassified non-coding RNA, 373 nt
Filed under: Hevea brasiliensis (rubber tree)
Lineage: Eukaryota; Viridiplantae; Streptophyta; Magnoliopsida; Malpighiales; Euphorbiaceae
Source: RNAcentral
AUUCUCUCCACAUAGUUCUCAAACCCCUAAAAACUCCUCUCUAGGGUUUCCUUCUUACCGAUCUCCCUACAGCUCCACUUUCAAGAGCACCCAGUAACAUCACAAUCUUACUCACUUCGAUCCGGGUUGACUCAUUUCCAUGGCGGAAGAUUCAGUUCCAGUUCCAGUUCCAGUUCCAUCAUCCACCAAUACAGCGCCGUUGGGUCACUCAGUGAUUCCUAUAGUGAACAAGCUCCAAGACAUCUUUGCACAGCUCGGAAGUCAGUCCACGAUUGAGCUGCCUCAGGUAGCUGUCGUCGGUAGUCAGAGUAGUGGAAAAUCCAGCGUUCUGGAAGCCCUUGUCGGUCGCGAUUUCUUGCCUAGGGGCGUGGAG